This 492-nucleotide ribosomal RNA is filed under the name uncultured bacterium. RNAcentral describes it as "partial 16S ribosomal RNA". It matches the Rfam family "Bacterial small subunit ribosomal RNA", at positions 29 to 507 of the family's 1533-position model. The record is from RNAcentral.
AGUGAACGCUGGCGGUAGGCCUAACACAUGCAAGUCGAACGGCAGCACAGUAAGAGCUUGCUCUUACGGGUGGCGAGUGGCGGACGGGUGAGGAAUACAUCGGAAUCUACUUUUUCGUGGGGGAUAACGUAGGGAAACUUACGCUAAUACCUCAUACUACCUACGGGUGAAAGCAGGAGAUCUUCGGACCUUGCGCGAUUGAAUGAGCCGAUGUCGGAUUAGCUAGUUGGCGGGGUAAAGGCCCACCAAGGCGACGAUCCGUAGCUGGUCUGAGAGGAUGAUCAGCCACACUGGAACUGAGACACGGUCCAGACUCCUACGGGAGGCAGCAGUGGGGAAUAUUGGACAAUGGGCGCAAGCCUGAUCCAGCAAUACCGCGUGGGUGAAGAAGGCCUUCGGGUUGUAAAGCCCUUUUGUUGGGAAAGAAAAGCAGCAGGUUAAUACCCCGCUGUUCUGACGGUACCCAAAGAAUAAGCACCGGCUAACUUCGUG